Molecule: ribosomal RNA, 498 nt
Filed under: uncultured bacterium
Lineage: Bacteria
Description: partial 16S ribosomal RNA
Rfam family: Bacterial small subunit ribosomal RNA
Source: RNAcentral
AUUGAACGCUGGCGGCAUGCCUUACACAUGCAAGUCGAACGGUAACAGGUCUUCGGAUGCUGACGAGUGGCGAACGGGUGAGUAAUACAUCGGAACGUGCCUAGUAGUGGGGGAUAACUACUCGAAAGAGUGGCUAAUACCGCAUGAGAUCUACGGAUGAAAGCAGGGGAUCGCAAGACCUUGUGCUACUAGAGCGGCCGAUGGCAGAUCAGGUAGUUGGUGGGAUAAAAGCUUACCAAGCCGACGAUCUGUAGCUGGUCUGAGAGGACGAUCAGCCACACUGGGACUGAGACACGGCCCAGACUCCUACGGGAGGCAGCAGUGGGGAAUUUUGGACAAUGGGCGAAAGCCUGAUCCAGCAAUGCCGCGUGCAGGAUAAAGGCCUUCGGGUUGUAAACUGCUUUUGUACGGAACGAAAAGCCCCGGGUUAAUACCCUGGGGUCAUGACGGUACCGUAAGAAUAAGCACCGGCUAACUACGUGCCAGCCGCCGCAGUAA